Long non-coding RNA from Homo sapiens (human), 2505 nucleotides. NCBI's taxonomy places the organism in Eukaryota, Metazoa, Chordata, Mammalia, Primates, Hominidae. The record is from Ensembl.
UCCUGACGCUCUCAGAGUCUGGCCUUCUGCUGGGCCCCGGGUCUCUCACUGGCAGAAUGGAGUUCUCGGAGCUGAUCCAUACGGGCUGAGCCCAAGCAGAGUUUCUACGGGGCCCGGAGGCGCCCCCGCUUCGCGGCACGGUGUGAGUCACCGUCCACCACCUGCUCCUGUCGCCAGGGCCCGCGUCCUCUCCGGACCUGUGGCUGCUGCUGUUGCGUAGCGUCGACUCCUUCGAGAAGCAGUGAGACGUGGCGGGGUGGGGGAGGGUCCCCGGGGUUGGGGAGCGCGCGGCUUGGCGGAGUAGGGGGCACGGCCAGCGCAGUCAGAGCUGGCGCCCUCCUGCGUAAGCCCAAUCCGGGAAACUCGUUGCCCCUCUCCUGGGAAAGGAACGUCCCUCCCCAGGGUUGCGAGUGACUCGGGCACCAUCACCCUGUGCUGUAAAGACCUGCGAGUGCUGCAGCUGGAAAUAGAGGGCGCGGAAGCGACGCUGGGCAUCGCCCGCUCCAUCGAGGUGUGCCGAGGGAGCUCCCGAGCCCUUUAAGCUCUCCCUGUCUCGCGUAGAGGGGAAUAAAAAGGUGCUUCUGUUCAAAGAGGCUCCGCAGCCGCAGCUAAAUGGCAGGGGGAUGCAGGGUGGUCCGGGGUACUUGGAGAGGCCGAAGCUGAAGCUACAGGACUGAGGGGCUGGAAAGGGCGCGGGCGAGACAAUUCCGACCCUCCCCAGAGCCCCUGACUUCCUUCUCCGGACGCUGUCCUCCCUGGAAUCAGUCAUCACCUCCUUCCCUUUAUUCUACCGUCCCAAGGGCCUGAGAUUGGGCGACUCCUGGCACUUCCUCCCGCCCGAACUCUACUGCAAGAGAGUAGCUCGCGAAGUGGGCGCGGUCGUAGGGGCCCGGGAAGGUGGAAGCGCCGGGCCUGGAAGAGGCGCGGGGACAGGGCACUCCCUGGGUGCCCUAGACCUGGCCUCUCUCCUCCCUGCGCUGCAGACCAACGCGUGGCGGCUGAGCGAGGUGAACGAGGACUUCAGCUUGUGCCCCAGAUACCCCCGUGCGGUGAUCGUGCCAUACUUGGUGGACGAUGAUGCCCUGGCGCGCAGCGCCCGCUUCCGUCAGGGAGGUCGCUUCCCGGUGCUCAGCUACCACCCGGCUCCCAGCGGCAGAGGGAGCGCGCCCUCCCCACGCUCCGCCCCUGGGUGGCUGCGUCCUUUCUGGGCCUUUUCUUUUUGGCCCGGUCAAUUCGCGGCGUAGCCGCUGCCCCAACUCCUGCCCCAUUCUGGUCCCGCCCCUCUCCCGCCUUUUCGCUGGGAAGGGUAUCACCUUUCUCUGGCCCCGCCCCUGACGGUUCCGGGCCCCGCGAAGCUUAGUCCCUUCUUUGUCAAGCCAGGACCCGCCCACGGUCUAUUCAUAGGGUCCCAAACCACUUUGGCCACAACACCCCCAGACUGGUCCGAAGCCUCGUGAGUUCGCCCUGGUCGUUGCACUCCAGCCUGUCGCUGUGCAGACCUGGCUUAGAGGACCCCUAAGGCUGAGGGGUCACUUCCAGAACUGAGUCCGGUCCGCAGGUUCUGCUACGCUCCAGCCAGCCCCUAACUGGUCCCCAGAAGCGGCGCUGCUACAGGGACCAGGAGCUGCUGCGAACUGCGCUGGCGGGGGCUCGUCCUUGGGCGCGGGGCUUCAUCAUGGACACGCUCUCGGCCCAGGCCGCGAAACAAGCCCGCGUGACUGGCGGAGGCACAGAGACCAAGGCCGCUUAACCUGGCUGGUUGCACUGGUCCCUGGAGAGAGGGCGUCCCCUGCAGGAGAGCUUCAUGCGCCUGGUGGAGGCCUGUGGGGACUCGGAGCAAAGCAUGGACAACUGGCUGAGUCGGCUGGACGGCUGCCGCUGACUGUAACAUGUAAAGCAGGCACUGAGCACCACCUGCCUGGCAGUCCAGGGCAUGGAGAGGCACAGACAGCACCCUGCUUGUGACUUCACUGGCCCAACUCAUCCUGGACCCCUUGAGCAAGACCAUGGCUGGAUUCCAGGAACUGGUGGAGUGGAAGUGGAUCCAGGAAAAUGCCGUGUGAAGGGAGGACUCAGAUGCACUCCCUGUGGUCUGGGCUCAACCAGCCAAAAGAGCAACAAAGACUCCAGAACCCACUCUACCUCCUCAAUCCCUUGGCCAUCUGUGGAGCCCCAGAGCCUGCGGCUGUGGCAAGGCCUGUUUCUGCGCUGGACCUGCUCACCUGAGCCUGCAGAAGCUGCAUGGGGGAAGAGUGUGGCAAAUAGUGACAGGAAGGGAGAAGACAGAAGCCUCUCAGCCAACUGCUUCAGCCGAGCCCCUAUUCUAAGCACUGGCUCCUUGGAUAGCAGCUGAGAUGUUCCUGAAACCUCUGCAGGCCCCUUAGGACCUUUACACCUUGGAUGAGGGUGCCUGCAACCCAGGUUAGCCAAAAGUACUGAGGGUCUUAAGUUUGAAGUGUCCAAAGUAUAGGGAGGUCUCAAUAAUAAAAGUCUCCAUGAUCAGCA